Non-coding RNA from Tetranychus urticae (two-spotted spider mite), 934 nucleotides. NCBI's taxonomy places the organism in Eukaryota, Metazoa, Arthropoda, Arachnida, Trombidiformes, Tetranychidae. The record is from RefSeq and is a predicted model, not a curated record.
UUCAAUGCAUUAAAGAUUAAGAAUUAAUUUGAAUUACUGUGUAUUACUGUUUAUCAUGUUAAUUAUUAUUGAUUUUCAGAAGAGACUAUUAUUUAAACUAUCGUUCAUCGCCUUUUAACUGUUCUAACUGGCUAUCUAGGUACAACUGGAAUGGUUGAAUUAAUUCAUGUAAGCUCAUCGUGAAUAUUCUAGAGACACGACUCAAUUUAUAACUAACAUGGAAUGGUUAAUCUAAAUCAAAUGAAAGAACAUUUAUUCGACAAGUUGAUUGAACAAGUGUUAACCUGGACGCUUGAAUCUGAUACACACUUUAUCGGAUGGUAAAUUGAAUAUGGUGGGUAAAGGUGAUGAGAAAAAUAUAAUAUAAUGAAGAGAUGAUCAAAUAAUAAAAAUAGAACUUAAUUUUCUGUUUGUUCACUUCUUCAGAUGUUGAUGUCCAAAUAAUAGGAAUUGAUUUAAGAAGGAGGAAAUUGUUUUGAAACUAAACUCAUCACGAAAUAUGAACAAUAUUGAUAUUAUCCAGCCUUACACUUUAAACGAGCGGACAAUAAUUAAACAAACAACAGUCAAAUGUUGUUAGUAAUUUUAAUGCUCUUCUUAUUACUAUUAUAAUCAUCACCACCAGAGGCAUUAUUAACAUUAUGGUGACUCCCAACUAACCUCAAGUUAUUAGUUUCUUGUCAUGAUGGAUUGGAUUUGAAGUUGCAAUUGAAACAUUUUCAACUAACAAGCAAACCAAAGGAGGGAUAUACAUAAAUAUAUAUGAAAAGUGGUCAUAACCAUUGACACUUGAUAACAAUUUGAGACAAAGCCAAAAAAAUUAAUAUUUGUUAAUGUGUUAAUCAUGAUUUCCACAAAAUCGCAGUUUUUCUUCAUAAGUAUUUCAUCAAGCACAAAAAAGGAGGAAAGACGAGAGAAGAAAAAACGAUGUCGA